Molecule: ribosomal RNA, 253 nt
Filed under: uncultured bacterium
Lineage: Bacteria
Description: partial 16S ribosomal RNA
Rfam family: Bacterial small subunit ribosomal RNA
Source: RNAcentral
UACGUAGGGUGCGAGCGUUGUCCGGAAUUAUUGGGCGUAAAGGGCUCGUAGGCGGUUUGUCGCGUCGGGAGUGAAAACUCAGGGCUUCACCCUGAGCCUGCUUCCGAUACGGGCAGACUAGAGGUAUGCAGGGGAGAACGGAAUUCCUGGUGUAGCGGUGAAAUGCGCAGAUAUCAGGAGGAACACCGGUGGCGAAGGCGGUUCUCUGGGCAUUACCUGACGCUGAGGCGCGAAAGCUGGGGGAGCGAACGGG